This is an RNA transcript of Nannospalax galili (Upper Galilee mountains blind mole rat), 2614 nucleotides long. It is a transcript of the gene named RUN and FYVE domain containing 1, with no coding region annotated. The record is from RefSeq and is a predicted model, not a curated record. NCBI's taxonomy places the organism in Eukaryota, Metazoa, Chordata, Mammalia, Rodentia, Spalacidae. The transcript is spliced from 19 exons.
CACGUGACCGGCCAACAUGGCCGCUAAUGGAGACGGCUGCCCGGCGGGGCUGGAGCCGAGCCCGGAGCCGCAGCCGGAACCCGAGGCCGGCCCGGAGCCGGGGGAAGAGUUCGAGGUUGUGGACCGGAGCCAGCUGCCCAGCCCCUGCGAGCUGCGGAGCGCGGCGCGGGCCCGGGACGGCUGGUCGGCGCCCAUCCUGACGCUGGCGCGCAGGGCCACCGGGAACCUGUCGGCGAGCUGCGGGAGCGCGCUGCGCGCGGCCGCGGGGCUGAGCGAGGGCGGCGGGGAGCGCGCAGCAUCCAAGGGCCAGAUGAUGGAGGAGCGUGCCAACCUGAUGCACAUGAUGAAACUCAGCAUCAAGGUCUUGCUCCAGUCUGCGCUCAGCCUGGGCCGCAGCCUGGACGCGGACUAUGCCCCCUUGCAGCAGUUCUUUGUAGUGAUGGAGCACUGCCUCAAACAUGGACUGAAAGUUAAGAAAAGUUUUAUUGGCCAAAAUAAAUCUUUCUUUGCUCCUUUGGAGCUGGUGGAGAAACUUUGUCCUGAAGCAUCAGAUAUAGCUACGAGUGUCAGGAAUCUUCCAGAAUUAAAGACCGCCGUGGGGAGAGGCAGAGCUUGGCUUUAUCUUGCUCUCAUGCAAAAGAAACUGGCAGAUUAUCUGAAAGUUCUUGUAGAUAAUAAGCAUCUCUUAAGUGAGUUCUAUGAGCCUGAGGCCUUAAUGAUGGAGGAAGAGGGGAUGGUGAUUGUCGGUCUGCUGGUGGGACUCAACGUCCUUGAUGCCAAUCUCUGCCUAAAAGGAGAAGACUUGGAUUCCCAGGUUGGAGUGAUUGAUUUUUCCCUCUACCUGAAGGAUGUGCAGGAUCUUGACGGCAGCAAAGAGCAUGAGAGAAUUACCGAUGUCCUUGAUCAAAAAAAUUAUGUGGAAGAACUUAACCGGCACUUAAGCUGCACAGUUGGGGAUCUUCAAACUAAGAUAGAUGGCUUGGAGAAGACUAAUUCAAAGCUCCAAGAAGAGCUUGCAGCUGCAACAGACCGGAUUUGUUCCCUUCAAGAAGAACAGCAGCGGCUCAGAGAACAGAACGAGUUAAUUCGUGAGAGAAGUGAAAAGAGUGUGGAGAUAACAAAGCAGGACACCAAAGUUGAACUGGACACUUACAAGCAGACCCGGCAAGGUCUGGAUGAAAUGUACAGCGAUGUGUGGAAGCAGCUCAAGGAGGAGAAGAAAGUCCGACUGGAACUAGAAAAAGAACUGGAGUUACAGAUUGGGAUGAAAACCGAGAUGGAAAUCGCCAUGAAGCUUCUGGAGAAGGACACACACGAGAAGCAGGACACACUGGUCGCUCUCCGCCAACAGCUGGAGGAAGUCAAAGCAAUUAAUCUACAGAUGUUUCACAAAGUUCAGAAUGCAGAGAGCAGCUUACAGCAGAAGAAUGAAGCCAUCACAUCUUUUGAAGGAAAAACCAACCAAGUGAUGUCCAGCAUGAAACAAAUGGAAGAAAGGUUACAGCACUCGGAAAGAGCAAGACAGGGAGCUGAAGAGCGGAGCCAUAAGCUGCAGCAGGAGCUUGGUGGGAGGGUCAGUGCCCUGCAGCUGCAGCUGUCACAACUGCAUGAGCAAUGCUCAGGUCUAGAGAAAGAGUUGAAAUCAGAAAAAGAACAAAGACAAGCUCUUCAGCGAGAAUUACACCAUGAGAGAGACACCUCCUGUGUACUCCGUACAGAGCUGCAACAAGUGGAAGGAUUAAAGAAGGAGCUGCGAGAACUCCAGGAUGAGAAGACAGAGCUGCAGAAGGUCUGUGAAGAGCAGGAGCAAGCCCUCCAGGAAAUGGGCCUGCACCUAAGCCAGUCCAAACUGAAGAUGGAAGACAUAAAGGAAGUAAAUAAAGCACUGAAGGGCCACACAUGGCUGAAAGACGAUGAAGCAACGCACUGUAAGCAGUGUGAAAAGGAGUUCUCCAUUUCCCGAAGAAAGCAUCACUGCCGAAACUGUGGCCACAUCUUCUGCAACACCUGCUCCAGCAAUGAGCUGGCUCUGCCCUCCUACCCUAAGCCAGUGCGUGUGUGUGACAGUUGCCACACACUGCUGCUGCAACGCUGCUCAUCCACCACCUCCUGAGGCCAGUCAGCUGCCCAAAGUGAAUGGACUUCUGUCCUCAGGGUAGAGGGCAGUCUCAGGCCAAGUUUCAAAUUAUCACCAGUAAUUGUAAAAGUAACUCAGUGACCCAGAGAAGGAACCCCUCAAGACUUCUCUAAAUUAAGUGAACUCAUGAAGAUAUCAGAAGUACAAGGUUUAGCUUAACCAACUCAACACUGCCUCUCCUACACACACUCAACUUCCCAACAGUGGAGUGGAACUGUAUGGAUCACAGCCAAGAGGCUCUGCAUAGUUCUACACUCAAUACUAAAGACAGAAAUGGCCAAUAGAAAUCCUUUUCCGUUCAAGCUACCAUUGCUAACUUUUUGCAGGAACCUGAGAAAACCGUCAGCACAGUCACAGGGAAGUUCACUUGGCACAAGCCAACAUCAUUGCAGCUCUAAUUCUGUACUUCAGUACCAUUUGAGACUACACGUGUCUGUUCCCAAAACGCAAUGCCCUUGAACACUUAACUAAAAAACA